Molecule: long non-coding RNA, 1174 nt
Organism: Pyrus x bretschneideri (Chinese white pear)
Lineage: Eukaryota; Viridiplantae; Streptophyta; Magnoliopsida; Rosales; Rosaceae
Exons: 3
Source: RefSeq, a predicted model, not a curated record
UGGUGAGUCUCGACUUCUGUCUCACAAACCUCUGCUUGUGUCGCUCUCUCCUCCACUGCUUCAACUCACAACCCCAAUCUCCACCACCACAAAACAUCAAAUCUCCUUUUUUCGGUUUCUGAGUUGUAGGCAAUUUAGGGUUAGGGUUUUUUGAAAGGGGCUUUCUACUUCAGUAUUUUCUGCUGUUUCUGAGGUCUAACGGAGGAGGUUUUAUCGGGCAAGGAGAUAAAGCAAUUAAAUUUUAAAAAUCUGGAUUUACAGUUCGUAUUUUGAGCCUGAAUUCAUGAAAACAAACUUAACCCAUUAUUUAUCAGCGAUAAUUGAUCUGAUUAAUUUAGUUUUUAAUCAUAAUCAAUGGCAUGUAGCUUUAGCAGGAGUGGGGUUUGGGAAAUUAGCCAAUACCCAUGUUGCUUUUUGUUCGUAUGCUUUCCAUUUCUCCUCUCUUGCCAUCUUCUCUGUAUUUUUACCCUUGGUUCCGUGGUUCUCCGGCCGCCGUUAAGGUUUGCUGGAUUGUCCGCUUUGCUGAAAACUAUGUCCGAAGGCCAGUGCAAGAGAUCGCUAUUGGUCAGCUUGAACCACCAACGAUCUCUUCGUUGAUAUAUCCUCAGCAUUAGCAGACUGUUCUCCAAAGGAUUUUCAGCAUGGGGUGGAAUUUGUUGCAGAGCAUGUACUCCCGCUGCUCAUACCUCUUCUUAUUGACCAGCAAUUAAAUGUUCAGCAGUUUGCCAAAUACAUGCUCUUUGUCAAGGAUAUUCUGAGGACCAUGCUUUAUUUCUUCAAGUUGGCAACGAUUGCAGAGGUAAGCUCUCUGAUGAAGUCAUCUACUUUACACUUUAUUUCUUUUUACAUAUGGCUAAAUUUUUUUCAUGGAUUUAUGUAUUUCUUUCCUGUGAAUUCGAAUUCAAAUCGGAUUUAUAGAUUAGUAGAAACAAAUUUCAUGAAUUUUUUUAUUUGCGUGUGUGUUGGUUCUGUUCUUUAGCUACAAGCAAAUAAUCUGCAUAUAAUUAGUAUUUAGGAUCUAAUUUUUUUGGCUUUUCAAGAGUAGCAGCAAAAGGUACCUUUUCUUUUUUUCUAUUUUUGUAAUUUUCAAAUGUGAUUAAAUUAGUUGUCAAAUGAUUUCUUUUUUUUUUUUAACAAUUUUUUUUAACAAACGAUAUUAUAUACACUAAGGGGG